GACGGAGGAUGCAAGUGUUAUCCGGAAUCACUGGGCGUAAAGCGUCUGUAGGUUGUUUAAAAAGUCUGCAGUUAAAGGUUGAAGCUUAACUUCAAAAAUGCCGUAGAAACUUUUAAACUAGAGGAUGGUAGGGGUAGAGGGAAUUUCCAGUGGAGCGGUGAAAUGUGUAGAUAUUGGAAAGAACACCAACGGCGAAAGCACUCUGCUGGGCCGACACUGACACUGAGAGACGAAAGCUAGGGGAGCGAAUGGG
RNAcentral lists this ribosomal RNA (253 nucleotides) under uncultured bacterium. RNAcentral describes it as "partial 16S ribosomal RNA". It matches the Rfam family "Bacterial small subunit ribosomal RNA", at positions 524 to 776 of the family's 1533-position model. The record is from RNAcentral.